CCAGUCGCCUCCCUUCAAUUUCUUACCUCACCCCAACCCACAUCUAUACUACCUAUGCGACGACGGCGACGACUCCGACUCCGACUCCGACUCCCUUAAUUUCUAAUUAAAUUCCUCCGCGCGCCUCAUUCUUGCGAGGGCCACCUCUGCUGGUGCAACUCUUCCUCCUUUUCCUCUGCAGAUUCAAAUCGUCUCGUCUGCCCUAAUUUUAAUUUGUUCCUCUCAAGUCGCCGCCACCGAAACGUCGCAACGUGUUGUGGCCGCGGCUCCUCCUCGGCCUUUUCCUCCUCUCUCGCAUCCCCUCCGCCUCCCUGGCAUUGCCUCUGCUCGCUUCGCUUGCCUCCUCUUCUUCUUCCAGCUGCUAUUGUCGAGAUUGAUGGCCGUGUUGUAUUAGCCGCAAUGUACGUCUCAAGUUGCCGGGCUUCAUCAAAGGAUCCCUGUCGAGCUCCUUGCGUACGUAGUUGGUUGUUGUGCAAUUGGUGCUGGUGAAUACUUGAUCAAAGGAUUUGCAGCAUCUCUUCCUAUUGCUCCCCCGGUGUUGCCCUUCCUGCUGCCGCCUAGUGCUGCCCUGCUCUCUCCGGUGCUGCACGGCUCCUACUGUCGCCUAGUGCUGCUCGGCUCUUCCUAUUGUCGCCCGGUGCUGCUCGGCUCUUCCUGCUGAUGCCUGCUCGGCUAUUCCUGUUGUCGCUCGGUGCCGCUUGGUUCUUUCUGCUGACGUCCGGCGCUACUCGGCUCUUUCUGCCGACGCCUGGUGCGGCUCAGCUCUUCUUGUUGUCGCUUGGUGCCACUCGGUUCUUUCUGCUGACGCUUGGUACCUCUGGGCUCGUUCGGCCGAUGCUUGGUGUCGCUCGGCUCUUCCUGUUGUUGUCUGAUGUUGCUUGGCUCUUCUUGCUGUCACCGCUUGACUCUUUUUGCUGACGACUCUUCUAGCUGUCACCUGGUGUUGCUGGUUAUUCCUGUUGUCGCCUAGUGCUACUCGGUCUUUCUUGUAUUUUCUAAGAUCUCUCUUUGCUUCUCUAUUUACAUUUAUAUUAUAGAAUAACUACGAAGAUAUUCGCGGUGAAGCAUGAGCUCUUUACUUGUAUGAGAAAUGUGUAAUAUGGUUAUGAAAAACGCUGAAUGAGAAAGCGAUCGUGUAUGAAAAAUAUAAGAAUUAAUAAUAUUAAUAGUUAGUCUUAA
Ananas comosus (pineapple) is the source of this 1179-nucleotide long non-coding RNA. RefSeq lists it as uncharacterized. The transcript is spliced from 4 exons. Lineage: Eukaryota; Viridiplantae; Streptophyta; Magnoliopsida; Poales; Bromeliaceae. The record is from RefSeq and is a predicted model, not a curated record.